Molecule: ribosomal RNA, 472 nt
Filed under: uncultured bacterium
Lineage: Bacteria
Description: partial 16S ribosomal RNA
Rfam family: Bacterial small subunit ribosomal RNA
Source: RNAcentral
GACGAACGCUGGCGGCGUGCUUAACACAUGCAAGUCGAACGCUGAAGCUUGGUGCUUGCACUGGGUGGAUGAGUGGCGAACGGGUGAGUAAUACGUGAGUAACCUGCCCUUGACUCUGGGAUAAGCCUGGGAAACUGGGUCUAAUACUGGAUACGACAUGCCACUGCAUGGUGGUGUGUGGAAAGGGUUUUGCUGGUUUUGGAUGGGCUCACGGCCUAUCAGCUUGUUGGUGGGGUAAUGGCCUACCAAGGCGACGACGGGUAGCCGGCCUGAGAGGGUAACCGGCCACACUGGGACUGAGACACGGCCCAGACUCCUACGGGAGGCAGCAGUGGGGAAUAUUGCACAAUGGGCGGAAGCCUGAUGCAGCGACGCCGCGUGAGGGAUGACGGCCUUCGGGUUGUAAACCUCUUUCAGCACGGAAGAAGCGAGAGUGACGGUACGUGCAGAAGAAGCGCCGGCUAACUACGUG